GGAUUACAGAAUUAUAGAAAUCAAACCAAACAAAAGUGUGUUGAUCAUCAACAAGGUUGUAAUUAUUUUAGUGGUCUCUUUGUAAAAGCCCCUUCCUUCCCCUGUGAACUAGGGCUAGCAGCCCCUCUUCUUCUUAUGGAGCAAGCUGGUGGUGGUUGUAAGGAGGCAAUGAGGGGGCUGUAAGGGGGCAGUGAGAGGGGACUGGGGUAGCUCUUUUUAUUAAAAGCCUGAGUUCACCACCUCAAUUUUGGGGAGAAAAGAAAACAGCACAUUCCUGUCAUCAGCUCUGAGUGGAGCAGCAGGUGCAGGAAUUUGUUUUGAUUGCUUUAGCCGGGAAUGCAUUAAUCUGAAGAGAUGCAAGACCUGCCUCUCUAUUUGCAGUGGCCAUGGAGUCAAGUCUAAAAGUCACAUGACUUCAGUCUACCAGUCAGAGUGCCCAUGCUGACCCCUGUUCACCACCGAAAGCACCUACAAUGGGGACGUGAGCAUCAGAACUGGACCAUGGAGCAACGGAUGAAGGUUUUCUUUUACAAUUUGUGGAUAGCCUGGUGCGUGUACAUCACUUACCUGGGGAAGAGAUGGCACCAGGAUGCACUAUGGGAAGAAGGCAAGAUCUCAAUCCGAUCAAGCAUCUGUGGUACGUGCUGGAAAACAAAUCGGAUCCAUGGAAGCCCCACCUCUCAACUUACAGGACUUGAAGGAUCUGCUGCUAACGUCAUUUGUGCCAUAUACCACAGCACACCCUCAGAGGUCUUGUGGAGUCCAUGCCUUGACAGGUCAGAGCUGUUUUGGUGGCACAAGUGAGACCUCCACAAUAUUAGGCAGGUGGUUUUAAUGUUAUGGCUGAUCUGUGUAUAUAUGGGGGAAAAAAUGUUAAAAAAAAUAAUAUAUCUAUCUAUCUAUCUAUCUAUCUGUCUAUCUAUCUAUCUAUCUAUCUAUCUAUCUAUCUAUCUAUCUAUAUAUAU
This is a long non-coding RNA of Ictalurus punctatus (channel catfish), 965 nucleotides long. NCBI's taxonomy places the organism in Eukaryota, Metazoa, Chordata, Actinopteri, Siluriformes, Ictaluridae. The record is from Ensembl.